AUUACUAUACUUUCAGGGAUCAUUUCUAUAGUUUGUAACUAGAGAAGUGUGGUUGAAAGUGUUACUUGUCCCCCUCUGUGACCAGAUUCACAGA
This 94-nucleotide small nucleolar RNA is filed under the name Gopherus agassizii (Agassiz's desert tortoise). Its description in RNAcentral is "Small nucleolar RNA U3". It matches the Rfam family "Small nucleolar RNA U3", at positions 1 to 98 of the family's 219-position model. Rfam says of the family: Small nucleolar RNAs (snoRNAs) are involved in the processing and modification of rRNA in the nucleolus. There are two main classes of snoRNAs: the box C/D class, and the box H/ACA class. RNAcentral also lists the same sequence under 1 other name. Lineage: Eukaryota; Metazoa; Chordata; Testudines; Testudinidae. The record is from Rfam by way of RNAcentral.